Molecule: transfer RNA, 84 nt
Filed under: Candidatus Bathyarchaeota archaeon
Lineage: Archaea; Thermoproteati; Candidatus Bathyarchaeota
Also listed under: 2 other names
Description: tRNA-Leu
Rfam family: tRNA
About the family: Transfer RNA (tRNA) molecules are approximately 80 nucleotides in length. Their secondary structure includes four short double-helical elements and three loops (D, anti-codon, and T loops). Further hydrogen bonds mediate the characteristic L-shaped molecular structure. tRNAs have two regions of fundamental functional importance: the anti-codon, which is responsible for specific mRNA codon recognition, and the 3' end, to which the tRNAs corresponding amino acid is attached (by aminoacyl-tRNA synthetases). tRNAs cope with the degeneracy of the genetic code in two manners: having more than one tRNA (with a specific anti-codon) for a particular amino acid; and 'wobble' base-pairing, i.e. permitting non-standard base-pairing at the 3rd anti-codon position.
Source: RNAcentral
GCGGGGGUGGCCGAGUGGUCAAAGGCGCCAGGCUUAGGACCUGGUGGCUUAGCGCCUGCGCGGGUUCGAAUCCCGUCCCCCGCA